RNAcentral lists this ribosomal RNA (253 nucleotides) under uncultured bacterium. RNAcentral describes it as "partial 16S ribosomal RNA". It matches the Rfam family "Archaeal small subunit ribosomal RNA", at positions 474 to 727 of the family's 1478-position model. The record is from RNAcentral.
UACCAGCACCCCGAGUGGUCGGGACGUUUAUUGGGCCUAAAGCAUCCGUAGCCGGUUCUACAAGUCUUCCGUUAAAUCCAACUGCUUAACAGGUGGGCUGCGGAAGAUACUAUAGAGCUAGGAGGCGGGAGAGGCAAGCGGUACUCGAUGGGUAGGGGUAAAAUCCGUUGAUCCAUUGAAGAACACCCGUGGCGAAGGCGGCUCUCUGGAACGCAACUGACGCUGAGACGCGAAAGCGUGGGGAGCAAACAGG